UCAAGUGUUGCGCUAUUUCUCUUCUUGCUUCUUGGUGCUGGUGACGACGGCGAUUUGUUGACGAUGGCGGUAGCGCGACGGGCUUCUUAAUGUUGACGACGGCGACUCGACGACGGCGGCUCGACAGGUUUCUCGUUGUUGACGAUGGCGACGGCGCUGCUAUAGCCCCAUAGCCAACAGUUACAUAUCCUCUCUUCUCCUCAGCCCAUUCCUCAACUGUCGUCCAUCCGUCUGGCACUUGUCUUUAGCAACUGGCAAUUCGGCAACUACUUGCAAGUGUUCAGGAACAGGGAUUUGAAGAUGCUUGGACUACCAACCCACUCAUCUUCAACAACUCUUACAAGAUGCAGCACACGAGCUGGCUCUUGGAGACUCAUAGGAGAUUUUCACCAUUAAAAAUUUCAAGGAAGGGUCUCAGUGGUAUGAUACAUAUAUCUUUUGAUAUUGACAAUCCACAGCAUUUCAAUCCUGAGUUUUCAGAUGAAUUAGGAUGUUAUCUUUUCAAAUUUACAAACAUUGGUACACUGUGCAAGAUAACCUGCAUUUGACUAAAUGUCUACCAUUUGUUUGAAAUCUUAUUUGGUUGUAUCUUUUGACACAAUGGCCAUCAUUUGAUUGUAUCUUAACAAACACUUGAAAGUCUGCAAACUUGCAAAAUUUUCUUAUUUUUCAUUCUAAGGACUCGAGGACAGAUUUUGCAAGCAAUCAGAGUUAAUUUGGUUGUCUAUGGAGAAAUUAUUACUGUAUCUUGGAUGGAUUUAUUAUAAUGCGAUCUAUACAGUACAAACUUGCCAUUAUUUGAAAAUUUUAUUUACCUCCUGCUUCCCAUCUUUUUAUGUUUGCAAUUGUUCUUACUUUUGUUGUCUUCAAUUUUCCUUGUUAGGCUUUGGGCUCAUUGCCUAGCGUUAUAAGUGAUUUCAUUCUCUACUUGCAUUCUCCUAUACUUUGUAAGGAUAUUCAAGGCCAUAUCUGUUAUCUAUUACUGUAAUUUCUUUUACACCCACAGAACACAUAAGCUUUCAAGAAGUAUCUGUUUCUUUCAUCAUUGAAGAUUUGCCACUUUUUCUUAGGAAUACAAAUACAUCACGAGAAUGAGGUUGGCUUACAUUAGUUCAUCUGUUUCCAACCCAUGUUAUUUCAUGGUUCUUGUUAGUGGUAUCCCAUGGUCUCAAGAAGAAUCAUACAGUGAGUUGGCAAAAUUCUUUACAAGUUAUUAUGCAUCAAGCUAUUUAUCUCAUCAAAUUGUAUACUGGUCGAGUGUUGUUUAGAGACUGGUGGUAAGUAUCUGAUAGACCUUUUUCUGAUUGUUUUUAUGAUUUUUUUUGGAGGUAAUUCGAUAUCUUUUUCUUAUCCUGGGAAUGUCAUACUUGUUAUUUGGCUUAGACACACUGCUUUGUAAUCAGAGAGCUUUUGAGUGGUGAGAAAGAAAGGCUUAUACAAUUGCCCACUGACAAGGCUCUUAUUAAAGAUCAUUUUUUCCACCCACUAGUUGAAAAAUAUGAUGCGGUAUGUGUGUGUUCCAUGGUUCCUCCCCUGCUUCAGAUGAAUUUUGAUGUCCAUUCUUUGCUGAUCAUGCAAAGGCUCAUUUGAAGAUCUCUGAACUUGGAGAGCCAACAUGACGAGUUAGAGGCAGACUUUAUGGAUUUUAUACUAUGAAAUAAUGAGCUUGGUGGCUAAAUGCACUUCAAUAAAUAUUUUGUAUUAUAAGUUUUUGGUGUAAUAUUUGUAUUUGCAUAAAAUGUGAGGUUCAUUAUGCUAUAAGCAUGCAUAUGUCUAUUACUUUUGUUUUAUAUGUUUUUCUAAUUUGUCAGCAGCUGCUGCAUUGGCUAAUGAAGCUAGGUUGUAGGCCAUAAAAAAAAAUAAUUUUUUUAUUUACUAAAUUACUUUCCGAUAACCAAGUGGUCGGAAAUUCUCACCGCUAUAAUUUUUAACUAAAUAACUUUCCGACCACUUGGUGGUUGGAAAAUGUGCAACAUCACUCUCCAGCCUACGACCAGUUGUUUCGACGACUUUAAUAAAGUCGACGGUAUUUCCGACCACCACAUCAAGUAGUCAGAAAUACCGAUGAUGAUUUUUCCGAAUCCUAAAGUAGUCGGAAAAGUGGCCAGGACAAGGAUUUUCGAUCAGAUUUUGGCAUUUUCCGACCACUUUUGGGGUGGUUGGAAAAUGGUUGAUUUCCAACUGUAAGUAUUGUGUUGAGUACAUAUAUAUAGCAACAUGUAUGCACACUGUCACUGAUAAGCACCAAGAAUAGCUCAUUUUAGGGGUCAUUUAAGGGCUAGUAUUGUAUAGUUUAUUACCCAUUUCAUAAGAAUAUCCUGCAUUUAGACUCUAAUGUGACCAAAACUUCUAACUAGAGUGUGGAAGAUGCUUUUUAGGUAUCCUACAGCUAAAAGGAGGACUCAAGGCCGAAAAAUGAGCAGAAAAUGAAGAAACCGUGAAGCAGGAGCCUCCCACGCAGCCUCACACGCGUUUGGAGGGGCGUGGAAACAUUCCAGAAACUCCCCACACCCUCCACCACGCGUGUGGAAGAUCGCGGAGAAAAUUCUUCCGGGCUCGACGUGUCGAGACCCCUGUGACAGCCCUAAAAAUCUGCUGCGCGGAAAUUGUCUAUCUUGCUCCUAUUUUGUUCCCCCUAUAUAAGGCUCCUUAUUUCAGACUUUUGGAGAUGAGGAGGCACCCCAUAAUUUAGAUCUUAGUUUUCUUUUCCAAAUUCUUCCCCUUUGGGGAGGAAUUCCAAUACUCCUCCUUAGAUUAGAUUUAGAUUAGUGUAGAUGAUGAAGUUGUAGAUCCAAGAACUCCUUAGGUAAUACUCUUUUCUUUUAAUAUUAAAGUUUGAAUCUUUACUUUC
Ipomoea triloba (trilobed morning glory) is the source of this 2851-nucleotide long non-coding RNA. RefSeq lists it as uncharacterized. Lineage: Eukaryota; Viridiplantae; Streptophyta; Magnoliopsida; Solanales; Convolvulaceae. The record is from RefSeq and is a predicted model, not a curated record. The transcript is spliced from 4 exons.